Molecule: ribosomal RNA, 207 nt
Filed under: uncultured bacterium
Lineage: Bacteria
Description: partial 16S ribosomal RNA
Rfam family: Bacterial small subunit ribosomal RNA
Source: RNAcentral
GGUGUAGGCGGUCGGGCAAGUCGGAUGUGAAAGCCCUUGGCUCAACUGAGGAAGUGCAUUCGAAACUGUUCGACUUGAGUAUGGGAGAGGAAGGUGGAAUUCUCGGUGUAGCGGUGACAUGCGUAGAUAUCGAGAGGAACACCGGUGGCGAAGGCGGCCUUCUGGCCCAAUACUGACGCUGAGACCCGAAAGCGUGGGGAGCAAACA